Molecule: transfer RNA, 72 nt
Filed under: Camelus bactrianus (Bactrian camel)
Lineage: Eukaryota; Metazoa; Chordata; Mammalia; Artiodactyla; Camelidae
Also listed under: 2 other names
Rfam family: tRNA
About the family: Transfer RNA (tRNA) molecules are approximately 80 nucleotides in length. Their secondary structure includes four short double-helical elements and three loops (D, anti-codon, and T loops).
Source: Rfam by way of RNAcentral
GAGGGUACAGCUCAGUGGUAGAGGGCAUGCCGAGCAUGCAUGAGGUCCUGGGUUCAAUUCCCAGUACCUCCA